CCAGCCUUUACACAGAAACUUGAAGAAGCGCUCUUUACCUUGUGCUGACGCCAGAUGUAGGAGCACCGACAGCAAUAUUACAAUCCAACAGGGUCUCUUUCUCGCUUCACCCGAAUUCCCAAACAUUGCCAGAGAGGCAGAUGGAGAGACACUGAACGCGUUUGUCCGGCACGCCGGGUACAUGUUGCUCCUCCACAGUCCAGCCACAGUUGUGCGCGUAAUUUUCUGGAGUGUCUGUGGCGCGUCUCGUGCGAGGACUUGUGCGACUCAAAAGACUAAUUCUUUACAUGUAUAUCUGAAACUUGAAUAUUGUUCAACUCCGUUGUAGGUGUGAGUUUGUGAACGGUAUGUUAAAACUUCAGUUCUUAACAGUCUACGACUCCAAUGCACAGAAGUCUGACACUUGUAUUCUUUCAUCCACUGGCUCUACUCUCAUGCAUUCACUUAACAAAUGUUUGAUCAUUAAGUAUAUUCCCAAAUGCAGACCGCAAACGCCUCUAGUUCGCGAACUGUUGAUAACGGUCCCCAGGCUAUGAUUAGACGGGUGAUAAUUCGCUCAUGAUCAAUGUCGCUGUGUUAUUCUCAUUUCAGAAAAAACAAAAGUUAGCUCUGUUCCUGGCGCGUUGCUAUUUGUUAUCCCCAAGACGAGUCUUUUGCAGUGAAGAACCUCCCGUUCACUGAGUCCGCCCAGAUGCAGAAUAAGCUUCAUUCGGUUUAAGUAACUUUCCAAGUCCAGUUUUAGUGCGACACGGUGCCGUUUGGUCCAGUCGAACCAUGCUCUGCGUAAAGCUCCGCUGUGAUGCGAAACGGUAUUCGUGAGAGAUCAAACUGUCAUGAAUGCCGCCCAGGAACCGGCCCGUUGCGCUGAAGAUCUCCAGCAUCAUGAGCAGCGGAUCGGAGAGAGAGGUGCGCGCGGAGGGGGCUGACGCACGGUGCCACCGCGCGGUGAGCUCCAAUAAGACACGCAGCGAGACAAACGGGCACUCGCUGCUGAAUGCACUGGAAGGAACGCGUGCGAAAAACAGACCAACAGUGUGGUUCAAGAGAAACGAAGAUCUUAAUAUUUCUCAGAGCAGAAAACAAGAGAG
Molecule: long non-coding RNA, 1088 nt
Filed under: Sinocyclocheilus grahami
Lineage: Eukaryota; Metazoa; Chordata; Actinopteri; Cypriniformes; Cyprinidae
Description: lncRNA (ENSSGRG00000020599.1)
Source: RNAcentral